UGCCCUUUGGCCAAGUUGGUAAGGCAAUGGCUUCUGGUGCCAUCAUGCGCUGGUUCGAGUCCAGCAAGGGCAA
This is a transfer RNA of Oenococcus kitaharae DSM 17330, 73 nucleotides long. It matches the Rfam family "tRNA". From Rfam's summary of the family: Transfer RNA (tRNA) molecules are approximately 80 nucleotides in length. Their secondary structure includes four short double-helical elements and three loops (D, anti-codon, and T loops). Further hydrogen bonds mediate the characteristic L-shaped molecular structure. tRNAs have two regions of fundamental functional importance: the anti-codon, which is responsible for specific mRNA codon recognition, and the 3' end, to which the tRNAs corresponding amino acid is attached (by aminoacyl-tRNA synthetases). tRNAs cope with the degeneracy of the genetic code in two manners: having more than one tRNA (with a specific anti-codon) for a particular amino acid; and 'wobble' base-pairing, i.e. permitting non-standard base-pairing at the 3rd anti-codon position. Lineage: Bacteria; Bacillati; Bacillota; Bacilli; Lactobacillales; Lactobacillaceae. The record is from Rfam.